This is a long non-coding RNA of Sphaerodactylus townsendi, 124 nucleotides long. RefSeq lists it as uncharacterized. Lineage: Eukaryota; Metazoa; Chordata; Lepidosauria; Squamata; Sphaerodactylidae. The record is from RefSeq and is a predicted model, not a curated record. The transcript has 3 exons.
UUGACUGUGUGUCUAUGGACUUUGGGCUUGGUAUCAGCAUGCCAUGUUGGUUUGACUUUGAUUCUGUCCUUUGUAAUUGGUUUUGUUGGUCUUGCAACACUGGAUUCUUUGUUCAAGUGGGUUU